This 404-nucleotide ribosomal RNA is filed under the name Actinomycetes bacterium. Its description in RNAcentral is "Actinobacteria bacterium partial 16S ribosomal RNA". It matches the Rfam family "Bacterial small subunit ribosomal RNA", at positions 355 to 776 of the family's 1533-position model. Lineage: Bacteria; Bacillati; Actinomycetota; Actinomycetes. The record is from RNAcentral.
UGGGGAAUAUUGGACAAUGGGCGCAAGCCUGAUCCAGCCAUGCCGCGUGAGUGAUGAAGGCCCUAGGGUUGUAAAGCUCUUUCACCGGUGAAGAUAAUGACGGUAACCGGAGAAGAAGCCCCGGCUAACUUCGUGCCAGCAGCCGCGGUAAUACGAAGGGGGCUAGCGUUGUUCGGAUUUACUGGGCGUAAAGCGCACGUAGGCGGACUUUUAAGUCAGGGGUGAAAUCCCGGGGCUCAACCCCGGAACUGCCUUUGAUACUGGAAGUCUUGAGUAUGGUAGAGGUGAGUGGAAUUCCGAGUGUAGAGGUGAAAUUCGUAGAUAUUCGGAGGAACACCAGUGGCGAAGGCGGCUCACUGGACCAUUACUGACGCUGAGGUGCGAAAGCGGGGGGGGCAAACAGG